Molecule: long non-coding RNA, 280 nt
Organism: Mastomys coucha (southern multimammate mouse)
Lineage: Eukaryota; Metazoa; Chordata; Mammalia; Rodentia; Muridae
Exons: 3
Source: RefSeq, a predicted model, not a curated record
UCUAGGUACAUGUCAUAUGAAGACAGUUUAUGUUCCUCAUGAGGACCAUGAACAAACACCAAAAUGAUAGGUAGUAAAAAUGAACAGCAGUGAAGGCCAGAUCUUCAAAUGCUAUCCCCACCAAUACCAUGUUGUAAAUUCAGGCAAGAUCUUUGGCAUCCCUGCUGUGCUAGAAGUUUUCCACUAUGAAGGCAGAAUCACUCUGCUACCCAGAUCACACAAGGACCCAACCAAAAACAAGAACCAUAAAAUAACAAUAAAGUCCAAUCAUAAAAGGCCA